ACGUAAAAUAUUCUUUUCAAAAAAGUUUUGUCGCGUUUACGUUACGGCAAACGCAAAGCAUCGUGGUCCACUAGAGAGAGAGAGGGAGGGAGAAGGGAGAGGGGGGGAAUAAGAAAAGAGAGUUGGAAUGGAUCUUGGUUUGCGGAGGGAGGAAAAAGAACGGGCGGUUCUUGUCGCGCAGCGCCCUCGUCUGGUCAAAAGUGGUAGUGCAGCUUGUAUCUGGGAACAUGUUUGCAACUUUGCAGCGUCGCCACAGGGAGUCGCUAGAUAGGAAAUGGCUCAAUAGUUGGAGCUUUGGAAGGGGUUAUACGCAAUUGCAGUGGUUCUCAAACUGCUGCUUCCGGGAGUGAUUCGGGGGAGUUCAUUUACUUCAGAGCUAUUCAAUUACAUAUUUUACUGGGACAGAUUUUUCGGAGGUCAUUGCCGCUGAGCCAGUCAUUUGGCGAGCCACCAUCAAACGUAGUCAUAUUUUUGGGAUAGAAAGUAAAUAAGAAAUUCAUUUUAAUUAUAUUCCUUCAUUUUAUGCUUCUUUAAGUAUUACAGGACAGUGUUAUUUCAGCCUUUCCUUCCAGCUGAAGGCUAAGCACACACCAGAAGCACAUGGCUACGCAAUGUGUAAACCUAAAGACUUAUUUUAUCUCCCAUGGCAGCUGUUGGACUUGAUUCUAUCAGAGUUCUGACUCUGAACAGAAGCACUGCAAAGGUUUCCACAAGGUGUACAACUCCACGAGCCCAAAACCAAGCUGUGGGUGCAACUGAAGAUUCAAGCUUCAUGUUUUGUACAAGAGCAGGAGUGGGACAGAGGAGGAAAUGCUGCAGUCACCGGUGCUUUCUGAGGAUUGUCCUUGUCCUCCACAUUCACAACUCUGUGCAGCCAACGCUCCCAUCCACGUCGCCCCUUCAGUGGGCGGCUCAGAGGCGCUGUCACUGGGCCAGUUAGACUGAUGAUAAAACUCAUCCAUAUGCACCAAGUGGCUGGGAGGGUUGGACCUGUUUUCAUCUGCUUUUGCAGCGUACCAAAGAGUGACAAACAAAAAGUGAUGUGUCUUUAGUCGAGUGGGAACUCUUGACAUCUUGUUAGUGGCUGUAGCCUGCUGCCAGAGGCGUCGCGCAGCACACACAGUGCUCUGUCUCUGCGCUCUGGGCAGCUGCUCAGUUUGGUGUCAUUUGGCAUCAAAGAUGAAUGCAACUACAAUGCACACACAACGUGAACACAUGGACAUCCUGCCUCUGUGUUUCCACACACCCAUGGGCACCCAAGAGCACCCAUGGGCACCCACGGGACCUGCGACUGGUGAAGAGAAAAACUCAAUGCAGAAGAAAGAAUCAUUGUGGUUUCCCUUGGCAGUCAGUGCUCUGUCUUAGAGCCAAGUUCUCCGUCACUCCUUCCCCCCAGAGGCUAGCACCAGUCAUCGUCCUCCACUUCAUUGUAGG
RNAcentral lists this long non-coding RNA (1434 nucleotides) under Neogobius melanostomus (round goby). RNAcentral describes it as "lncRNA (ENSNMLG00000010820.1)". Lineage: Eukaryota; Metazoa; Chordata; Actinopteri; Gobiiformes; Gobiidae. The record is from RNAcentral.